This 484-nucleotide ribosomal RNA is filed under the name uncultured bacterium. Its description in RNAcentral is "partial 16S ribosomal RNA". It matches the Rfam family "Bacterial small subunit ribosomal RNA", at positions 28 to 507 of the family's 1533-position model. The record is from RNAcentral.
GUUGAACGCUGGCGGCAGGCCUAACACAUGCAAGUCGAGCGGAUGAAGGGAGCUUGCUCCUGGAUUCAGCGGCGGACGGGUGAGUAAUUCCUAGGAAUCUGCCUGGUAGUGGGGGAUAACGUCCGGAAACGGGCGCUAAUACCGCAUACGUCCUGAGGGAGAAAGUGGGGGAUCUUCGGACCUCACGCUAUUAGAUGAGCCUAGGUCGGAUUAGCUAGUUGGUGGGGUAAAGGCUUACCAAGGCGACGAUCCGUAACUGGUCUGAGAGGAUGAUCAGUCACACUGGAACUGAGACACGGUCCAGACUCCUACGGGAGGCAGCAGUGGGGAAUAUUGGACAAUGGGCGAAAGCCUGAUCCAGCAAUGCCGCGUGUGUGAAGAAGGUCUUCGGAUUGUAAGGCACUUUAAGUUGGGAGGAAGAGAAGUAAGUUAAUACCUGGCUGUUUUGACGUUACCAAAAGAAUAAGCACCGGCUAACUUCGUG